This 674-nucleotide ribosomal RNA is filed under the name Acaulospora morrowiae. RNAcentral's name for it is "eukaryotic LSU rRNA". It matches the Rfam family "Eukaryotic large subunit ribosomal RNA", at positions 65 to 627 of the family's 3401-position model. Lineage: Eukaryota; Fungi; Glomeromycota; Glomeromycetes; Diversisporales; Acaulosporaceae. The record is from RNAcentral.
CUAACAAGGAUUCCCUUAGUAACGGCGAGUGAAGUGGGAAGAGCUCAAAUUUUAAAUCACCUGGGUUCCCUUGGUGAAUUGUAAUUUAAAGAAAGUGUUUUGACGUUCGGGUUCGAUCUAAAUCCUUUGGGAUAAGGUAUCAUAGAGGGUGAGAAUCCCGUUCUUGAUUGAUCCUUUGAUUGUCUAUAAUUCACUUUCCAAGAGUCGAGUUGUUUGGGAUUGCAGCUCAAAAUGGGUGGUAAAUUUCACCUAAGGCUAAAUAUGUGCAAGAGACCGAUAGCGAACAAGUACCGUGAGGGAAAGAUGAAAAGAACUUUGAAAAGAGAGUUAAAUAGUACGUGAAAUUGUUGAAAGGGAAACGAUUAAAGUCAGUCAUGUUGGUAGGGAAUCAACCUGAUGGUAUGCGAGUUUCUCGUGUCCUUUCUGGUGCACUUCCUUACUUGCAGGUUAGCAUCAAUUUUGGUUAUUAUAUAAAAAUUAAGGGAAGGUGACUUUUCUUCGGAAAAGUGUUAUAGACCUUAAUAAAUGUAGUGACCGGGAUUGAGGUUUGCAGCGGAUACCCUUUUGGGCUAGUCACCUGGCUUCUGAUGGGUACCUCGUCUUCGAUAGCAUGCUAACGUUGAUGGGAUUCGAUCGUCUAGAUGUUGGAGUGAUCAUAAAUUCGCUAAGGAUGU